AUGGGAAACACCAUCGGUUCUGCUUCUCUGGUGAAGCAGGAUGUGCCCGAGACGUGGUCGACGAGCCUUACGGAGGGCGACACCGCGGCGCACAGUUUCGAGGUCACGGGCUUCUCGCUGCUCGACGGCAUGGGCGCCGGGAACUUCAUCUCGUCGAGCACGUUCUGCGUUGGCGGCUGCGAGUGGGACAUCACGUUCUACCCCGACGGGUCAAAGGAGGACGGAGGCGCCCACGCCUCCGCUUAUCUGCGUCUAUGCAAUGGAGAACUAGGGUUGCAGACCAACUACACUCUGAGUCUAUUGGGGAAGGAUGGCCAAGUGUUUGAGCAACGGAGCCUAGAACAUACCUUCCAGUCCGCAGGUAUUUUUUGGGGCUUCGACGACUUUGUCCAAAAGUCAAAGCUGCGGCGGCUGCUAUCCGGCAACGACGACUGUGUAACGAUCAGGUGUGUCUUGACGGUCUUGAAAGAGCGCCACGUGGAAGAAGUGAGCACGUUCAUCGUCCCGAUCCCGCCCUCAAACUUUCACCAAGACUUUGGGAACAUGUUGAAGGACGGGGAAGGCACGGAUGUGACGUUCGUCGUGGGCGACCAAUCGUUUCAGGCUCAUAGGUUUGUGUUGGCCGCUCGCACGCCGUUCUUCAGGGCGGAGCUCUUCGGUCCGAUGAAAGAGAACAAGAUGCAGUGCAUCAACAUCGAUGACGUGGAGCCCUCUGUAUUCAAGGCGCUUCUUCACUUUAUAUACAUAGAUGCCCUGCCGGAUAAUCGCGAUCUGAAGAAGAGCACGACACUGCAGCAUUUGUUGGUUGCCGCGGAUCGGUAUGGGUUGGACAGGCUAGCCGCAAUGUGUGAAGGAGAGCUAUGCCGAAGCAUUGACGUGCAGGCAGUUGCAACCACCCUAACUUUAGCGAAGCAGCAUUGUCACGAGCGACUGAAAGACAUUUGCAUUGACUUUAUGUCUUCGCGGGAUGUGUUCGGUGAUGUCAAGAAGACCGAUGGAUUCAAGCACCUUGUGACAAGCUGUCCAGAGGUCAUAUCAGAUAUUUUACAAGAAAAUUUGCCGUUGCCAGAGGUAGGAGUAAUUUACAUAAGAACUCUUUUUACGUGUUAA
Molecule: ribosomal RNA, 1110 nt
Filed under: Triticum aestivum (bread wheat)
Lineage: Eukaryota; Viridiplantae; Streptophyta; Magnoliopsida; Poales; Poaceae
Description: partial small subunit ribosomal RNA
Source: RNAcentral